AAACCCUAAAUUUCUUGCCAAACUCAAAAAGCUUCCUUUUUUGGGGGAUUCUACUCCGAAUCCCUCCUCCUCCAAAACCCAGAUUUCAAUUUCCCCCAAUUCCACAAAAAAACCCACCAUGAUUUUCUUCAAACUCUUCCUCAUCUUUCCCUUUCUAACCCUAGCUUUCUCCCAUGAAGCCUUCAACCCCCACCUCCUCCCCAGACCCCUGAUCAUCGACUACCCCAAUCUCGCCGAGCCCCAUUUUAAAGAGAUUGAAGCAGAGGUCAAGCUUCAGUGUACGAGCUGGAGGUUUUCUGUGGAGGCUAACAAUGUGAAUCCAUGGAAGACGAUCCCGGAGGAGUGUGUGGAGUAUGUGAAGGACUACGUCACUGGAAGAGGGUACGGUGUUGAUUUGGAGAGGGUUUCUAGUGAUGCUGGGGUUUAUGCCAAGAGUGUUGAGUUGCGUGGUGAUGGGAAAGAUGUGUGGGUUUUUGAUGUUGAUGACACUCUCUUGUCGAAUCUUCCGUAUUACGCUGAUCAUGGUUAUGGCUCUGAGGUUUUCGAUAAGUUGGAGUUUGAGAAGUGGGUCAAGAAGGGGAUGGCACCGGCUAUAAAGUCCAGCUUGAAACUGUAUGAAGAGGUUUUGAGCUUGGGUUUUAAGGUUAUCUUGCUCACUGGGCGCAGCGAAGGAAAAAGAAGGGUUACUACUGAGAAUCUAAUCAAUGCAGGAUUUCGAGAUUGGUAUAAACUUAUUCUGAGGGCUUCAGAUGACCAUGGGAAACUGGCUACUAUUUACAAAUCAGAGAAAAGAAGCGAGAUGGAAAAAGAGGGCUACAGAAUUCUUGGAAACUCUGGAGACCAGUGGAGUGACUUAUUGGGUAGCUCAAUGUCCAUUCGAUCAUUCAAGCUCCCCAAUCCCAUGUAUUACAUUCCUUAAUAGGGAGCAUCAUCCUUUCCAAAUAAUUGUUCGACAAAUUAAAUUCUACUGAUUGGUUUGUGGCCUUGGUAUGUAGAAAUUUGAAGCUGUCAUAAUUGAACUGAGUGAAAAAUUUCUGAUGUAUAUAUGUACCACAGCGAGUUAUAAAUUACAACGACACUAUUACUCAUACUUCCAGUUUUAUCUCUCAUUCUUUCUCUGGUAACAACUUUAAUCUUUAAAUUCAUGUUGCAGACACUUUUGCUGAAUGGUCACGAUCAUACACAUGGAUAUAACCUUGGCAUUUGCUUUAUCACAAUUCUAAUCUGCAGGUCCACUUAUUUUCAGGGUCCUAAGCCAAAACUAUAGUAGAGCUGGCUGGCGUCGAAACUGGACAACGCAAAGUGCAGAUUCCUUCCUACUUUUGUAUCACACAGAUUGGACCACGGAAAUUAGUAGUGAAAAAUGCCCUUAAGAGGGGAGUAGAGACAAGUCAG
This is an RNA transcript of Argentina anserina (silverweed cinquefoil), 1395 nucleotides long. It is a transcript of the gene named acid phosphatase 1, with no coding region annotated. The record is from RefSeq and is a predicted model, not a curated record. NCBI's taxonomy places the organism in Eukaryota, Viridiplantae, Streptophyta, Magnoliopsida, Rosales, Rosaceae. The transcript has 4 exons.